Molecule: ribosomal RNA, 770 nt
Filed under: uncultured Neocallimastigales
Lineage: Eukaryota; Fungi; Neocallimastigomycota; Neocallimastigomycetes; Neocallimastigales
Description: partial large subunit ribosomal RNA
Rfam family: Eukaryotic large subunit ribosomal RNA (bases 4-660)
Source: RNAcentral
GUACACGCUGUGACUAGCAUAUCAAUAAGCGGAGGAAAAGAAACUAACAAGGAUUCCCUUAGUAACGGCGAGUGAAGCGGGAAGAGCUCAAAUUUGAAAUCUUCAAGGUUUUACCUUGACGAAUUGUAGUUUAAAGAAGUGUUUUCUGCUGAAGUUUUGGUAAAAGUUCUUUGGAAUAGGACAUCAUAGAGGGUGAGAAUCCCGUAUUUGACCAUUAUUUCCAGCUUUGUGAUACACUUUCAAAGAGUCGGAUUGUUUGGGAAUGCAGUCCAAAAUGGGUGGUAAAUUUCAUCUAAAGCUAAAUAUUGGCGAGAGACCGAUAGCGAACAAGUACCGUGAGGGAAAGAUGAAAAGAACUUUGAAAAGGGAGUUAAACAGUACGUGAAAUUGUCAAAAGGGAAGCGUUUAACACCAGUGUUGUUUUCUGAAAAUCAACCUCUGUUAGCUUUAUGCAUGUUUGUUUAGACCUAAUCAGCUAUCUUUCAUGUUCUAUUGUUUGCAGUGGUGCACUUUUCAGUUUACAGGUCAACAUCAGUUUUUUUACCGUAAAAAAGUUAAAGAAAGGUAGCUCAUGGCUCCGGUCGUGAGUGUUAUAGUCAUUUUCCUAUGCGGUAGGAGAGACUGAGGUCUGCAGUGUAGGCUAUUUGGCUAGAUACUCAGGUGCUAUGUGAUACCAUUUCAUAAACAGCUUGUUGAUUACGUUUUGUCUAUUGCAUACUCGCUUGUACUAUCAUACCUACGCUUAGGAUGUUGAAGACUCUACAGAGAUA